This 433-nucleotide ribosomal RNA is filed under the name uncultured bacterium. RNAcentral's name for it is "partial 16S ribosomal RNA". It matches the Rfam family "Bacterial small subunit ribosomal RNA", at positions 29 to 507 of the family's 1533-position model. The record is from RNAcentral.
AACGAACGCUGGCGGCAUGCCUAACACAUGCAAGUCGAACGAAACUUUUGGGUUUAUUGGCGCACGGCUGCGUAACGCGUGGGAAUCUGCCCUUGGGUUCGGAAUACCUGUGAGAAAUUUCUGCUAAUACCGCAUGAUGUCUUCGGACCAAAGAUUUAUCGCCCAGGGAUGAGCCCGCGUAGGAUUCGCUAGUUGGUUGUGUAAUGGCCUACCAAGGCGACGAUGCUUAGCUGGUUUGAGAGGAGGAUCAGCCACACUGGGACUGAGACACGGACCAGACUCCUACGGGAGGGAGCAGUGGGGAAUAUAGGACAAUGGGCGCAAGUCUGAAGCAGCAAUGCGGCGUGAGAGAUGAAGGGAUUAGGAUUGUAAAGUUCUUUUACCAGGGAUGAUAAUGACGGUACCUGGAGAAGAAGCCCCGGCUAACUCCGUG